Molecule: ribosomal RNA, 1203 nt
Filed under: Triticum aestivum (bread wheat)
Lineage: Eukaryota; Viridiplantae; Streptophyta; Magnoliopsida; Poales; Poaceae
Description: partial small subunit ribosomal RNA
Source: RNAcentral
AUGUCGACGCCGCGUCGGGCGGCCGAAGCCGCCGUGGCGGAGGCGGACGCCCUGAUCUCGCUGCCGACGGGCGUCCUCGACGACAUCCUCGACCGCGUCGGCCUCCGCGACGCCGUCCGCACGUCGGCGCUCUCCCGCGCCUGGCGACGCCGCUGGGAGGACCUCCCGUCCAUCGACUUCUACUUCCCCUGCCCCGACGAGACCAAGCAUCUGAGGGCCGUCGACAGCGUGCUCCUCCGCUGCCCCGGCCGCGUCCGGCGCCUCUGGGCACACCUGGACGAGCCCUCCGCAGGCCGCAUCCACGACUGGCUCCUCGUCCUCUCCCGCCGGGGCGUCGACACCCUCAACCUCAGGCCCAGCUCCUUCGACGCCGUCCUCGCGCUCCCCUCCUCCGUCUUCGCCUGCCGCCGGCUCACCAACCUCCGCCUCCACGCCUGCGCCAUCCCGCCCCUGCCCGCGGGCUUCGAGGGGUUUCCGGAGCUGAGGAAACUUGCUCUCACCUGCGUCCGGUUCCGGGAGAACGGGGAGUACCAACUGGAGGAGAUCAUCGCGACGUCGCCCUCGCUUGAGAAGCUGGUAUUCUGGGAGGUGAAAAUCCUGGGCGACUUCAAGGAGCUUCUGUCCCUGCACUCUGCCAACAUUGAUAUACUGGACUAUUUAGGGGGCCGCGAUUUCGCCAAAUUCCUCGCCGGCUUUUCGAACAUUACCAAGCUUGUGAUAUGUACUCGGCAUUCACCGUUAAAUGGGGCUAUAAUACUAGAGAGGCUUCAAUGCAAAUUUGGUAACUUAAAGAGCUUGACACUAUAUACACAAUUUUGUGAGCUUGCCUCCAUUCUAUCAACCUAUUGCUUACUAAGGAAUGCCCCAAACCUUGAAAGACUCAAAAUACUGAUCGACAAUAGUGCCGAGCAGAAAUUUGAGGCACAUGAAGAGUUUCAAAAUUCACAGUGGACCGGUGGCAUGUGUGCCAACCUUCAGUUCAUGCAGAUGACUGGUAUUCAUUGGCUUCCAAAUGAGAUGACUUUUAUAGAGCUUAUUCUCUCUAAAGCAAGGCUUUUUUGCACAUUAUUUAUUACUCAUGGUGAGAAUUGCUCAAUGUCGAAUGAGGAUGCAAUGAACAAGAUACUAAGUUACAGAAGAGCUUCGACCUGUGCCGAGAUUAUGUUUAAAGGGAAAGCCAGUGUCACAUUUUUUCGCAGCUGA